This 494-nucleotide ribosomal RNA is filed under the name Paenibacillaceae bacterium CL4.53. Its description in RNAcentral is "bacterial SSU rRNA". It matches the Rfam family "Bacterial small subunit ribosomal RNA", at positions 1 to 490 of the family's 1533-position model. Lineage: Bacteria; Bacillati; Bacillota; Bacilli; Caryophanales; Paenibacillaceae. The record is from RNAcentral.
UUGAGCUUGAUCCUGGCUCAGGACGAACGCUGGCGGCGUGCCUAAUACAUGCAAGUCGAGCGGAUUUAUCCUUCGGGAUAAGUUAGCGGCGGACGGGUGAGUAACACGUAGGUAACCUGCCUAUAAGAUCGGGAUAACUAUCGGAAACGAUAGCUAAGACCGGAUAAUUGGUUUUCUCGCAUGAGAGAAUUAUGAAACACGGAGCAAUCUGUGGCUUAUAGAUGGGCCUGCGGCGCAUUAGCUAGUUGGUAGGGUAACGGCUCACCAAGGCGACGAUGCGUAGCCGACCUGAGAGGGUGAACGGCCACACUGGGACUGAGACACGGCCCAGACUCCUACGGGAGGCAGCAGUAGGGAAUCUUCCGCAAUGGACGCAAGUCUGACGGAGCAACGCCGCGUGAGUGAUGAAGGUUUUCGGAUCGUAAAGCUCUGUUGCCCUAGACGAACAGCAAGAGGAGUAACUGCCUUUUGUGUGACGGUAUAGGAGAAGAAAG